RNAcentral lists this ribosomal RNA (427 nucleotides) under uncultured bacterium. RNAcentral's name for it is "bacterial SSU rRNA". It matches the Rfam family "Bacterial small subunit ribosomal RNA", at positions 355 to 774 of the family's 1533-position model. The record is from RNAcentral.
CUAAGAAUCUUCUGCAAUGGACGAAAGUCUGACAGAGCGACGCCGCGUGGGUGAUGAAGGCCGGAAGGUUGUAAAGCCCUUUUCUACUCGAGGAAUAACCACUUGAGGCAAUGCGAGUGGGAUGACGGUAGGGUAGGAAUAAGCCCCGGCCAAUUACGUGCCAGCAGCCGCGGUAACACGUAUGGGGCGAGCGUUGUUCGGAAUCAUUGGGCGUAAAGGGCGCGUAGGCGGAUAUGCAAGCUUGGUGUGAAAGACCGCAGCUCAACUGCGGGGGCGCGCUGAGAACUGUGUAUCUAGAGUUCAAGAGGGGAAGCUGGAAUUCCUGGUGUAGGGGUGAAAUCUGUAGAGAUCAGGAAGAACAUCAGUGGCGAAGGCGAGCUUCUGGCUUUGAACUGACGCUGAGGCGCGAAAGCGUGGGGAGCGAACA